RNAcentral lists this ribosomal RNA (2844 nucleotides) under Escherichia coli. Its description in RNAcentral is "bacterial LSU rRNA". It matches the Rfam family "Bacterial large subunit ribosomal RNA". The record is from RNAcentral. Lineage: Bacteria; Pseudomonadati; Pseudomonadota; Gammaproteobacteria; Enterobacterales; Enterobacteriaceae.
GGGUUGUGAGGUUAAGCGACUAAGCGUACACGGUGGAUGCCCUGGCAGUCAGAGGCGAUGAAGGACGUGCUAAUCUGCGAUAAGCGUCGGUAAGGUGAUAUGAACCGUUAUAACCGGCGAUUUCCGAAUGGGGAAACCCAGUGUGAUUCGUCACACUAUCAUUAACUGAAUCCAUAGGUUAAUGAGGCGAACCGGGGGAACUGAAACAUCUAAGUACCCCGAGGAAAAGAAAUCAACCGAGAUUCCCCCAGUAGCGGCGAGCGAACGGGGAGCAGCCCAGAGCCUGAAUCAGUGUGUGUGUUAGUGGAAGCGUCUGGAAAGGCGCGCGAUACAGGGUGACAGCCCCGUACACAAAAAUGCACAUACUGUGAGCUCGAUGAGUAGGGCGGGACACGUGGUAUCCUGUCUGAAUAUGGGGGGACCAUCCUCCAAGGCUAAAUACUCCUGACUGACCGAUAGUGAACCAGUACCGUGAGGGAAAGGCGAAAAGAACCCCGGCGAGGGGAGUGAAAAAGAACCUGAAACCGUGUACGUACAAGCAGUGGGAGCACAGAGCAAUCUGUGUGACUGCGUACCUUUUGUAUAAUGGGUCAGCGACUUAUAUUCUGUAGCAAGGUUAACCGAAUAGGGGAGCCGAAGGGAAACCGAGUCUUAACUGGGCGUUAAGUUGCAGGGUAUAGACCCGAAACCCGGUGAUCUAGCCAUGGGCAGGUUGAAGGUUGGGUAACACUAACUGGAGGACCGAACCGACUAAUGUUGAAAAAUUAGCGGAUGACUUGUGGCUGGGGGUGAAAGGCCAAUCAAACCGGGAGAUAGCUGGUUCUCCCCGAAAGCUAUUUAGGUAGCGCCUCGUGAAUUCAUCUCCGGGGGUAGAGCACUGUUUCGGCAAGGGGGUCAUCCCGACUUACCAACCCGAUGCAAACUGCGAAUACCGGAGAAUGUUAUCACGGGAGACACACGGCGGGUGCUAACGUCCGUCGUGAAGAGGGAAACAACCCAGACCGCCAGCUAAGGUCCCAAAGUCAUGGUUAAGUGGGAAACGAUGUGGGAAGGCCCAGACAGCCAGGAUGUUGGCUUAGAAGCAGCCAUCAUUUAAAGAAAGCGUAAUAGCUCACUGGUCGAGUCGGCCUGCGCGGAAGAUGUAACGGGGCUAAACCAUGCACCGAAGCUGCGGCAGCGACGCUGAUGCGUUGUUGGGUAGGGGAGCGUUCUGUAAGCCUGUGAAGGUGUGCUGUGAGGCAUGCUGGAGGUAUCAGAAGUGCGAAUGCUGACAUAAGUAACGAUAAAGCGGGUGAAAAGCCCGCUCGCCGGAAGACCAAGGGUUCCUGUCCAACGUUAAUCGGGGCAGGGUGAGUCGACCCCUAAGGCGAGGCCGAAAGGCGUAGUCGAUGGGAAACAGGUUAAUAUUCCUGUACUUGGUGUUACUGCGAAGGGGGGACGGAGAAGGCUAUGUUGGCCGGGCGACGGUUGUCCCGGUUUAAGCGUGUAGGCUGGUUUUCCAGGCAAAUCCGGAAAAUCAAGGCUGAGGCGUGAUGACGAGGCACUACGGUGCUGAAGCAACAAAUGCCCUGCUUCCAGGAAAAGCCUCUAAGCAUCAGGUAACAUCAAAUCGUACCCCAAACCGACACAGGUGGUCAGGUAGAGAAUACCAAGGCGCUUGAGAGAACUCGGGUGAAGGAACUAGGCAAAAUGGUGCCGUAACUUCGGGAGAAGGCACGCUGAUAUGUAGGUGAAGAUGGAGCUGAAAUCAGUCGAAGAUACCAGCUGGCUGCAACUGUUUAUUAAAAACACAGCACUGUGCAAACACGAAAGUGGACGUAUACGGUGUGACGCCUGCCCGGUGCCGGAAGGUUAAUUGAUGGGGUUAGCGCAAGCGAAGCUCUUGAUCGAAGCCCCGGUAAACGGCGGCCGUAACUAUAACGGUCCUAAGGUAGCGAAAUUCCUUGUCGGGUAAGUUCCGACCUGCACGAAUGGCGUAAUGAUGGCCAGGCUGUCUCCACCCGAGACUCAGUGAAAUUGAACUCGCUGUGAAGAUGCAGUGUACCCGCGGCAAGACGGAAAGACCCCGUGAACCUUUACUAUAGCUUGACACUGAACAUUGAGCCUUGAUGUGUAGGAUAGGUGGGAGGCUUUGAAGUGUGGACGCCAGUCUGCAUGGAGCCGACCUUGAAAUACCACCCUUUAAUGUUUGAUGUUCUAACGUUGACCCGUAAUCCGGGUUGCGGACAGUGUCUGGUGGGUAGUUUGACUGGGGCGGUCUCCUCCUAAAGAGUAACGGAGGAGCACGAAGGUUGGCUAAUCCUGGUCGGACAUCAGGAGGUUAGUGCAAUGGCAUAAGCCAGCUUGACUGCGAGCGUGACGGCGCGAGCAGGUGCGAAAGCAGGUCAUAGUGAUCCGGUGGUUCUGAAUGGAAGGGCCAUCGCUCAACGGAUAAAAGGUACUCCGGGGAUAACAGGCUGAUACCGCCCAAGAGUUCAUAUCGACGGCGGUGUUUGGCACCUCGAUGUCGGCUCAUCACAUCCUGGGGCUGAAGUAGGUCCCAAGGGUAUGGCUGUUCGCCAUUUAAAGUGGUACGCGAGCUGGGUUUAGAACGUCGUGAGACAGUUCGGUCCCUAUCUGCCGUGGGCGCUGGAGAACUGAGGGGGGCUGCUCCUAGUACGAGAGGACCGGAGUGGACGCAUCACUGGUGUUCGGGUUGUCAUGCCAAUGGCACUGCCCGGUAGCUAAAUGCGGAAGAGAUAAGUGCUGAAAGCAUCUAAGCACGAAACUUGCCCCGAGAUGAGUUCUCCCUGACUCCUUGAGAGUCCUGAAGGAACGUUGAAGACGACGACGUUGAUAGGCCGG